AGCGUUUUUCGCCGCGGCGGAGCUCGACCGCAGACUCGGACAGUGAUCGACUACGUGCGUCAGCACGCGGGUCGUUUCGGGGUCGAGCCGAUCUUGACGGUGCUCGCCGAGCAUGGCAUCAAGGUCGCCCCG
Molecule: regulatory RNA element, 132 nt
Organism: Xylanimonas cellulosilytica DSM 15894
Lineage: Bacteria; Bacillati; Actinomycetota; Actinomycetes; Micrococcales; Promicromonosporaceae
Rfam family: ALIL pseudoknot
Source: Rfam